This 341-nucleotide ribosomal RNA is filed under the name Methylocystaceae bacterium. Its description in RNAcentral is "bacterial SSU rRNA". It matches the Rfam family "Bacterial small subunit ribosomal RNA", at positions 1047 to 1389 of the family's 1533-position model. Lineage: Bacteria; Pseudomonadati; Pseudomonadota; Alphaproteobacteria; Hyphomicrobiales; Methylocystaceae. The record is from RNAcentral.
GGCUGUCGUCAGCUCGUGUCGUGAGAUGUUGGGUUAAGUCCCGCAACGAGCGCAACCCUCGCCCUUAGUUGCCAUCAUUCAGUUGGGCACUCUAAGGGGACUGCCGGUGAUAAGCCGCGAGGAAGGUGGGGAUGACGUCAAGUCCUCAUGGCCCUUACAGGCUGGGCUACACACGUGCUACAAUGGCGGUGACAAUGGGAGGCAAAGGGGCGACCCCGCGCAAAUCUCAAAAAGCCGUCUCAGUUCGGAUUGCACUCUGCAACUCGAGUGCAUGAAGUUGGAAUCGCUAGUAAUCGUGGAUCAGCAUGCCACGGUGAAUACGUUCCCGGGUCUUGUACACA